UUUGCCCACACAUGGGAUCAAUAGGGUACCAUAACGAGGAAGAUCGUAGCGGAAUACGAAAGAUUAUUGAUCGAAUAUAUUAAUAUAAUAGAUUACCCUUUGAACUUAAGCAUAUCAUUAAAAGGAGGAGAAGAAACUAACUAGGAUUUCUUUAGUAGCAGCGAGUGAACAAGAAACAACCCUUGAUUGUAAUCCUUAUGGAGCUGUAAAUCAUAUAUUUUAUUUCUUAUUUCGUAGAGGAUGUAUAUCCGUUAUAAAUGAGAUAUAUAAAAGUAAUUGAGUAGGGCUGCUUGGUAGUGCAGUUUGAAUAUAGGUAGAAUGAGAUAUCUAAGGUUAAAUAUAAUGGUACACCGAUAGCAAAUAAGUACUGCGAAGGAACUUGUGAAAAUGUGUGGGUUAUAGCCUUAUUUUUAAGGACCCGUCUUGAAACACGGACCAAGGAGAUUAUAAUUAUAGCGAGAUAACAUUGUAGUCGUUAUUAGCUUGAUAAGUUAUAAUUAUAAGACCCGAAACACAGUGAACUAUACAUGUUCUGGUUGAAGAUAAGCAACAGUUUAUUGGAAGACCAUAAUCAUUCUGACGUGCAAAUCGAUGAUUUAAGAUGUGUAUAGUGGCGAAAGACCAAUCGAACUGUGUGGUAGCUGGUUCACAGCGAAAUGUCU
Molecule: ribosomal RNA, 662 nt
Filed under: Vairimorpha apis
Lineage: Eukaryota; Fungi; Microsporidia; Nosematidae
Description: LSU rRNA
Rfam family: Eukaryotic large subunit ribosomal RNA (bases 73-662)
Source: RNAcentral